RNAcentral lists this ribosomal RNA (271 nucleotides) under uncultured prokaryote. RNAcentral's name for it is "partial 16S ribosomal RNA". It matches the Rfam family "Bacterial small subunit ribosomal RNA", at positions 524 to 794 of the family's 1533-position model. The record is from RNAcentral.
UACGUAGGUGGCAAGCGUUGUCCGGAUUUACUGGGCGUAAAGGGAGCGUAGGCGGAUUUUUAAGUGAGAUGUGAAAUACCCGGGCUUAACUUGGGUGCUGCAUUUCAAACUGGAAGUCUAGAGUGCAGGAUAGGAGAAGGGAAUUCCUAGUGUAGCGGUGAAAUGCGUAGAGAUAUGGAGGAACACCAGUGGCGAAGGCGGCUUCCUGGUCUGUAACUGACACUGAGGCGCGAAAGCGUGGGGAGCAAACAGGAUUAGAUACCUCUGUAGU